UACGAAGGGGGCUAGCGUUGUUCGGAAUUACUGGGCGUAAAGCGCACGUAGGCGGAUAUUUAAGUCAGGGGUGAAAUCCCAGAGCUCAACUCUGGAACUGCCUUUGAUACUGGGUAUCUUGAGUAUGGAAGAGGUAAGUGGAAUUCCGAGUGUAGAGGUGAAAUUCGUAGAUAUUCGGAGGAACACCAGUGGCGAAGGCGGCUUACUGGUCCAUUACUGACGCUGAGGUGCGAAAGCGUGGGGAGCAAACAGGAUUAGAUACCCCCGUA
RNAcentral lists this ribosomal RNA (269 nucleotides) under uncultured prokaryote. Its description in RNAcentral is "partial 16S ribosomal RNA". It matches the Rfam family "Bacterial small subunit ribosomal RNA", at positions 524 to 792 of the family's 1533-position model. The record is from RNAcentral.